UGGGGAAUAUUGCACAAUGGGCGAAAGCCUGAUGCAGCGACGCCGCGUGAGGGAUGACGGCCUUCGGGUUGUAAACCUCUUUCGACAGGGACGAAGCGCAAGUGACGGUACCUGUAGAAGAAGCACCGGCCAACUACGUGCCAGCAGCCGCGGUAAUACGUAGGGUGCGAGCGUUGUCCGGAAUUACUGGGCGUAAAGAGCUUGUAGGCGGUUCGUCGCGUCGUUCGUGAAAACUUGGGGCUCAACCCCAAGCUUGCGGGCGAUACGGGCGGACUAGAGUACUGCAGGGGAGACUGGAAUUCCUGGUGUAGCGGUGAAAUGCGCAGAUAUCAGGAGGAACACCGGUGGCGAAGGCGGGUCUCUGGGCAGUAACUGACGCUGAGAAGCGAAAGCGUGGGUAGCGAACAGG
Molecule: ribosomal RNA, 409 nt
Filed under: uncultured bacterium
Lineage: Bacteria
Description: bacterial SSU rRNA
Rfam family: Bacterial small subunit ribosomal RNA
Source: RNAcentral